CUGAUUACUCUUUCAUAUAUAAUAGACAAAAGGUCAUUUUGUUGCUGUAGUGAACAAGGUAAGAUUUUUGUUGUUUCAUUUGUCUAUCUGUUAUAUUUAAAUACUAUUGUCGUGGAAUGCCCUUUUCGUUUGAAAUGUUCGUACUUCAAAUUGGUGCAGGUUUGUUAUGGUUUAAAACUCCAGUUUUCUUGGUCAUGUUUUAAAGAUGGGUUUUUUUUCUAUGAGUGCUUUUGUCAAUUAUUUGGCCUUACUAGUUCAUUUCAGUAGUUGUUAGCUCCCGCUUUUUGUUAUUUUUUUUCAUAUUUUAGAUGGUAUUAUUAAGUUUAUGCUUUUUUCCUUCGAAAUGAAAUACAUAAACAAUACAAGGAUUACAUAGUGAUGUCGGGAUUUUUAAAUUGCCAAGUAUAGAGACGAGUGAUUCACAGCAAGAGUCAUGUUUGCUACACCUUCAACUAAAAUUUAUUAAAAUAAGAGUAAUCGGGUGCUGCUUAUGGAUUUGGUUAAUGUGGUGGAUAUUCAUGGAAGCCAUGGGGUUGAAUUAUUUGUUGGAUAUUAUAGUAAUACAUGAGCAACUUCUCAUUCCCCCCGUUUGUUACAAAAU
This 601-nucleotide long non-coding RNA is filed under the name Olea europaea subsp. europaea. Lineage: Eukaryota; Viridiplantae; Streptophyta; Magnoliopsida; Lamiales; Oleaceae. The record is from RNAcentral.